CUUAAUUUGCACUUCAAACUAUUUCUUUCUUUUUUUUUUGAGGGUCAUAAGUCGGCAUUUAUUAUUUAAGUUGAUGAACAGGUUAUGAAUGGGGUGAGGGGGAGGCCUAGGGGAGAGGGAAGAAGGGAGGAGGCAGGGAGAUGAGAGCCUCUCCUUUGUGUCUGCUCCCAACGGGGUUGAUCCUGAUUUCUGAGCCUUGGUCCAGGGCACACAAUGAAGCACACGAUAAGAUGAGGUUCCAGGGGCUACAGUUUCUUUGAAUAUGCAUCCAACUUGUAAGCGCCUGGUCAAGAGCUGCUACUUGCUCCUCAGUUAAAGUGAUCUGAUCCAGAUGAGGCUGAAGUGCUGCAGAUUUCUGGUUUAAGUCCUUUAGGUUUCUACUUAUGUUUACUGCAAUACCUUUCAUUUCUAGAUACUUCAAGCUAGUCAGUUUGUUCAUAUUUUCCAGAAGCUUAUAGUCUUCAUGGUGGCUGUCAGCUCGCCGGUUAGGUACGUGGCCAUUUUGGAGAACAUGUCCUGACACAGCCCCGUGAUGUCCUACUCGGCCAUCUCCACCACGGCAUCGUCUCCAAUCUAUUUCUUAAUAAGAAACAAACAAAAAAAUCACAGAACUAUUCUGGUACUUAUUUAGGUGACAAAAUAUAUUGGGGCCACUUAUACUCUGUAAAUAUGUAGUCUUUACUUCCUCUUUCCAGAGUUUAGUCAUUGGUCAACUUAGAUGCUUUCAAAAGUAUUCCAUGCUUACAAGGGAAUUCCAAUGUCUCUGACCAUAGACAUACUUCUAAUAACAAGAAUACACAAGAGAUUUCAAUUCACUUCUGUAUGUAAUCUGUAGGAUCAAUGAGCAUGAAAUAACAGGCAUUGUGGUAGAUUCUAGGUGAUCUCAGGAGUAUUAUCUUCUAUCCUUUCCAAAAAAUACAUAUAACACACUAGAUUUAUCUAUUUUAGUAGCCAUCUAUAUCAUUUGAUAGAUGGAACCAGAUGCACACACUUUCUAUAAGCAGUAAUUCUACCAAUAUAUUGCUACAGGGAGGAAGGUAGUACAUUUUGCCCUUAUAGAUACAGCAUAUUUGGUAAGUAUUAAUCAAAUACAACAAAUAAAAUAAUAACACAAAACUAAAUCA
Molecule: long non-coding RNA, 1124 nt
Filed under: Phascolarctos cinereus (koala)
Lineage: Eukaryota; Metazoa; Chordata; Mammalia; Diprotodontia; Phascolarctidae
Description: lncRNA (ENSPCIG00000032942.1)
Source: RNAcentral